GAUGAACGCUGGCGGCGCGCCUAACACAUGCAAGUCGAACGAUUAAAGCACCUUCGGGUGUGUAUAAAGUGGCGAACGGCUGAGUAACACGUGGGCAACCUGCCCCUCUCAUUGGGAUAGCCACGGGAAACCGUGGAUAAUACCGAAUACUUCGGGACUUCCGCAUGGAAGACUCGAGAAAGCUCCGGCGGAGAGGGAUGGGCCCGCGGCCUGUUAGCUUGUUGGUGGGGUAAUGGCCUACCAAGGCAAUGAUGGGUAGCUGGGUUGAGAGACCGACCAGCCAGAUUGGGACUGAGACACGGCCCAGACUCCUACGGGGGGCAGCAGUGGGGAAUCUUGCACAAUGGGCGAAAGCCUGAUGCAGCGACGCCGCGUGCGGGAUGAAGGCCUUCGGGUUGUAAACCGCUUUCGGCAGGGACGAGGCGAAAGUGACGGUACCUGCAGAAGAAGCCCCGGCUAACUACGUG
RNAcentral lists this ribosomal RNA (467 nucleotides) under uncultured bacterium. Its description in RNAcentral is "partial 16S ribosomal RNA". It matches the Rfam family "Bacterial small subunit ribosomal RNA", at positions 28 to 507 of the family's 1533-position model. The record is from RNAcentral.